GGCGGAUCCGCUCCGGCGAAUACCAGAGGCGAAGGGGCAAGGCGGCGGCCGCUCCAUCCUUCCCCACGUGCUGGUUGUGCUGAUUCCGGGCUGGAUAGGUCGGUGCUGGACCUCAAGGGCGUCUGCUCCACUGACAGCCUCUUUGUAGUAAAAAUGAAGCAGAGCAAGGGAAUCAUAAGGGAGGCAAUGGGGAUGGGAAGGUUUGAUGGAUAAUCACCAUUUCUUAACCAUAUUUGGACCUUCCAAGAAAAUUAUGGCAGAUUGAACCUCUCC
Long non-coding RNA from Lolium rigidum, 273 nucleotides. RefSeq lists it as uncharacterized. The record is from RefSeq and is a predicted model, not a curated record. Lineage: Eukaryota; Viridiplantae; Streptophyta; Magnoliopsida; Poales; Poaceae. The transcript is spliced from 3 exons.